UCUUGACAUCCCGAUGCUAUUUCUAGAGAUAGAAGUUACUUCGGUACAUCGGUGACAGGUGGUGCAUGGUUGUCGUCAGCUCGUGUCGUGAGAUGUUGGGUUAAGUCCCGCAACGAGCGCAACCCCUAUUGUUAGUUGCCAUCAUUCAGUUGGGCACUCUAGCGAGACUGCCGGUAAUAAACCGGAGGAAGGUGGGGAUGACGUCAAAUCAUCAUGCCCCUUAUGACCUGGGCUACACACGUGCUACAAUGGUUGGUACAACGAGUUGCGAGUCGGUGACGGCGAGCUAAUCUCUUAAAGCCAAUCUCAGUUCGGAUUGUAGGCUGCAACUCGCCUACAUGAAGUCGGAAUCGCUAGUAAUCGCGGAUCAGCACGCCGCGGUGAAUACGUUCCCGGGCCUU
RNAcentral lists this ribosomal RNA (401 nucleotides) under uncultured Streptococcus sp. RNAcentral's name for it is "bacterial SSU rRNA". It matches the Rfam family "Bacterial small subunit ribosomal RNA", at positions 979 to 1382 of the family's 1533-position model. Lineage: Bacteria; Bacillati; Bacillota; Bacilli; Lactobacillales; Streptococcaceae. The record is from RNAcentral.